UUGCUAAACUACUUACACAGAAAAUUUUACACCACAAUUUGUGGGUUACGUCUGGGACAUUCUCGUAGUGGUGCUCAUUUAUUUAGGAUCGGUGUUUUAGAUUCUCCAACUUGUCAAUUCUGUAAUUUAUCCAUCCAAACUCUUGAUCACAUUUUCUUUGACUGUCCCCAAUAUAAUCUUCAAAGAUUUACAUUGAUAGACUGCCUCUUGGAUAUUUAUAAGAAUGCUGAAGACAUCCCGCGCUCACUUCAUCAGUUAUUGAAAACUUAUGACUGCUUCGUGCCGCUUUACAAAUUUAUAGUUUCAACGGUAGGCGAAAUUUGAAAAUACGGCUUGGCUUUUGACACAAUCCCUUACACAGACUUAAAACAUAUUCGUCCAUGAAUUAUUAUUGGACUUGUGUUUAUAAUGUAAAUUUUAAUGUAUAAAUGUAAAUAGUAUAUUUGUAGUUAUACCUUAAAUUAGUUUCAUAUUAUCUUAUAAUUAUUAUAUUCAAUUAAUGUUCAUCAUUAUUACAUAUAAUUCAUGAUAAUAUAUUUCUUAUGACGUAUAUGAGAUUUAUAUUUUAGUAUUAUAUCAUAAAAGUUUAUUAUUAUUAAACUCCGGAGUAAGCUUGAUCUUCAUUGGAACAAGAAUAUUAUCAAUAAAAGACUUGGCUUCGGCCUUUCAUGCGAACCUAUAUGUAUAUGAAGAAAAUGAAACAUGAAGAACACGAAAUACUACUUUUAUGUGAAAUUGUACUAUUUAUGUUUGGAGAUGAAGAUGAUAUAAAGACUUAGCUUGACUUUGAACAAGCUGUGUAAAGUGAAGGCUGAAGAAAAGAAAAAUAAAAAUGAAGACUUGGAUGUAUGGGCUUUUGACCCCUUUGCCUGUUCAGAUGGACGAAAAGAACCAAAAAAAAAUGUCUAUGGAAUAUUGUUUUUUUUUUUACCUAUCUAGUCAAGAUGCUAUCUGACAUAGUCUUACAUAAAAAAGGAUAUGACUGACAGGAGUUCUGACACUUGUAGGUCUCAUUUUACCGCGGUGUAUAGUGUCACAAACUUAUCUGGCCCGGUGGCCAAAAGUAGAAUUAACGUCGCCAUUUUGAAAUAUCAAUCAGCCUGUUAUUCCAUGACAUUCCUACCAUUGUUUGUUCCGUGUGUUUAUUUUUUUUUGUGGUUUUAAUAAGUGAAAAAUGCCGAAAGCUUUAAAAAGUGUUGUGAGGAACGUUAUAUUACAAGUUGUGAAUUAUAUGAAGGAAGAAAACGCCUUUUAGGCACCAAUUAUAUCCUUCGAUAAGUUGUAUGAACGCGUUGCUGCUGCCACAGGUGUCGGGGAGCGAUUUGUAAGAAAACUUGUAAAAGAAAAAGAGCAAGCAGAUGAAACUGGAACAAAGAUAUCCACUACAGGAAAAAAAAGGAAAAGGACUAAAGGCAAAAUUGAAGUGGACAAUUUUGAUCUCGGUGUCAUUAGAAGAAAAAUUCAUGAAUCCUACAGCAUGCGCAAAGAAAUUCCCACAUUAGCAAAGUUGUUAAAUGUGCUUCAAGAAGACAUUGAUUUUAAAGGGAGUCGUGAAACACUCCGAAAAAUACUCAGUAAAAUUGGAUUUCGUUACAAGAAAUCAAAAUCUAAUCGAAAAGUACUAAUUGAACGUAAUGAUAUAUCAGAAUGGAGAGCUAAUUAUCUACAAAUAAUUUAUGAAAAUGAAUGCGGUGAAAAAAAACCAGUCAUAUUUUUGGACGAGACUUAUAUUCAUUCGUCUCAUACAGCUGGACGCUGUUGGCAAAGUGAUGAAGUUAAUGGUGUGCUUAAUCCAGUCUCGAAAGGAAACAGAUCAAUAAUUGUUCAUGCGGGAGGACAAGCUGGCUUUGUGGAGAAUGCGUUAUUAGUUUUUCAAUCAAAUACAAAAAGCGGUGAUUAUCACGAUGAAAUGCAUAGUACAAAUUUCAAAAAAUGGGUGACCGAUAGACUUCUACAAAAUCUACAUCGGCCAACAUUAAUCAUAAUGGAUAAUGCCCCAUAUCAUAGUAUUUCUAUAAACAAAUGCCCUAAUUCAAAUUAUAAAAAGGCUGAUAUGCAAAAAUGGCUGUCAGAAAACAAUGUUGAAUUUAGUGAACAUUUCACAAAACCGCAACUCUACGAAUUAAUCAAAAGGCACAAACCAAAACCUAUUUACGAAAUAGAUGAAUUAUUGAAUAGUAAUGGACACAGCGUGUUAAGGUUACCACCAUACCAUUGCGAUUUAAAUGCAAUCGAAAUGAUUUGGAGCUCUAUGAAAAGAAAUGUAGCAGAUCAGAAUAUUGUGAGAUCAAAUUCUGAAAUGCCUACAUUGAUUGCAGAAGCUUUUGAUAAAAUAACGAAUAAGAAUGGCAAAAGCAUUGCAAUCAUGUAAAAAAAAUUGAAAACGAGUAUCGAAAAAGGGAUGGAUACUUAGACGAGGCUUUCAUCAUUAAUUUAGGUAGUGAUAGUGAAAGUGAAAGUAGUGACUCUGAUGAUGAUGAAAUGACUUAUGAAUUGAACAAUUCCGGUGAUAUAAGAAUACCUGGAAUAUCUCCGUUAGAGAACACUCGGCAUACAUUUUAUUUAAAUGAUCAUAAUUAUUGUAUAAAAAUAUAAAGAUUUUUUAUA
This is a long non-coding RNA of Leptidea sinapis, 2607 nucleotides long. RefSeq lists it as uncharacterized. NCBI's taxonomy places the organism in Eukaryota, Metazoa, Arthropoda, Insecta, Lepidoptera, Pieridae. The record is from RefSeq and is a predicted model, not a curated record. The transcript is spliced from 2 exons.